UUCUCUUAAAGUAAUAUAAUACAUUUUAAUUUCGACUUAAAACCAAGACCCCUUAGUCUAAGAGAAA
RNAcentral lists this transfer RNA (67 nucleotides) under Stenamma megamanni. Its description in RNAcentral is "tRNA-Arg". The record is from RNAcentral. Lineage: Eukaryota; Metazoa; Arthropoda; Insecta; Hymenoptera; Formicidae.